RNAcentral lists this ribosomal RNA (222 nucleotides) under Escherichia coli. Its description in RNAcentral is "partial 16S ribosomal RNA". It matches the Rfam family "Bacterial small subunit ribosomal RNA", at positions 1 to 217 of the family's 1533-position model. Lineage: Bacteria; Pseudomonadati; Pseudomonadota; Gammaproteobacteria; Enterobacterales; Enterobacteriaceae. The record is from RNAcentral.
UUAAAUUGAAGAGUUUGAUCAUGGCUCAGAUUGAACGCUGGCGGCAGGCCUAACACAUGCAAGUCGAACGGUAACAGAAAGAAGCUUGCUUCUUUGCUGACGAGUGGCGGACGGGUGAGUAAUGUCUGGGAAACUGCCUGAUGGAGGGGGAUAACUACUGGAAACGGUAGCUAAUACCGCAUAACGUCGCAAGACCAAAGAGGGGGACCUUCGGGCCUCUUG